GUCAUGAUCCCAGGGUCCUGGGAUUGAGCCCCACAUUGGGCUCUCUGCUCAGCAGGGAGCCUGCUUCCCCCUUUCUCUCUGCCUGCCUCUCUGCUUACUUGUGAUCUCUGUCAGAUUAAAUAAAAAAGGGGGUGACUUUGGAAGCUGUGUGUUGAAUACAGCAGAACCAUGAGAUGGAAGAGGCACGGGUCGCCACUGCCUAGAGGAGAGCCACCUGUCAAUCGGGACUAUGUGAAACUUGGACUCCUGGAAUGUUUCUUCUCAUGCUGCUGUUACUGUAGGGGAUUCCUAGGUGCUAUCGUUCCUUCUGGUACACAAAGCCAAAUUUAAGGUUCUUGAACCAGAAGAGCUUGGACUUUUGAGUUACCAAAACGAAGCCUUGGAGGCUUUAGACACAAUGUUUAUGCUGUGAGUCUUCGCUCUGGGAGAAAGCAUGCUCCCUCCAACAAGAUGGCUUCCUCCCAUGAACCAGCAAAGCCAAAGGAGAGAGGGAGUCCGUGAAUGUCAGAGCUCAGCAGCUAAUACCAAACCUGGGAGAACAUUCUGGGGAGAGCGUGAAGUGUGGCCUCCUGGUGUGGGAGAGGGAGGGGCCAAUGGCAUCCCCUGCAGUCCUUCUGUUGACUGUGCGCAUGCCUUCUUCUCAUGUGUUCCGUGGCUGUCUCAUCUUUAGCUUUGAUCUCGCCCUCAAGUUGUGUUUCUGUGCUGUAACUUUAUCGUGGGUGCAGUUCAAGUAUAGGAUAACCACGAGCUCCAGAAAGGUUUCUGCUUGAAUGUGAACCAUAUGACUCUCCAAGAGUUUCCCAAGAAUGGCAACCUCGCCCUCCUCCGCCAGCCACUGCUACCCACUCUCAGAUCCACUCUUCGUCCUUCAGCAAGUACAAUGCACCUCCGUUACGAGACAUUUCAACGUGACGUGCUAUGGACAUACCAUAUUCAUUUACUCCAACAUUGUUGUUUUUCCUUAUCUAAACUUAAUAUAUUUUUCCAUCUUUAGAGUGGUUUGGGUAACCUGGGUUGGGAUGGAAUGCUCAUAAUUUUCCCCAAUAAAAUUAA
Lutra lutra (Eurasian river otter) is the source of this 1053-nucleotide long non-coding RNA. RefSeq lists it as uncharacterized. The record is from RefSeq and is a predicted model, not a curated record. The transcript has 3 exons. NCBI's taxonomy places the organism in Eukaryota, Metazoa, Chordata, Mammalia, Carnivora, Mustelidae.